RNAcentral lists this long non-coding RNA (2002 nucleotides) under Malus domestica (apple). RNAcentral describes it as "long non-coding RNA (MDOM_LNC016053)". Lineage: Eukaryota; Viridiplantae; Streptophyta; Magnoliopsida; Rosales; Rosaceae. The record is from RNAcentral.
AUACUUUUAGUCGCUUGAAUUAAGCAUAAAUACUAUCGGAACAAAUUUUGAAAACCAAAAGGGGAUAAAAGUAUAACGAAAAACAGUUUCACAUUACAUUCUUUGUGCUCUUUGAUCUGGUUUUCCCUAUUCUGCUUAGGUCAACCUUUGCUAUUUAAGGAAGAAGUGCAAACUUUUAUGAGGAUUGGAAGGGAAGGAAGUGACACUUAUUCAAACAAGGCACUUAAACCAUAUAUAUAAAGGAUGGUGUUAUUUACACAUAUCUAAUUUUUAGUUGUCUGAUCGAAUGAAUUAAAAAAAAAAUUAAUAGACAAAAAUUAAUAAAAAUAUGUAAAAAGUAGAAAUGGUGUGUGAAUAGCCUACUGCUUAUCAAUUACCAUUGAUAUAUGAUGUAGUUAACAUGAUACCUGCUUUGGAUUUUUUUAGGUCAUAAUGAUCUAACUUCCACCACAUAUUAUUAUUUAUAUAUGAUUUGAAGGUUCAGUGUUCCUCGUCCAAGUUUACAAGUUCAUCAUUAUUCUUUCAUGACGACGUAUCAUGUACUGCCACCCUCCCUCCCCCCCCCCCCCCCCGCAAAAAAAACACACACACACACACAAUAAGCAACUCUUUUAACCAUACAUACUUAGCGGAGUUACCUCUAAACACAAUUUUUCACCUUAUCGAAACCUCAUUUUCUUGUAGCUCUCAGUUUUUCUUUGAUCCAGUCAAUCUGAUAGCAAUAUGGAGGGGUGUGCAGGAGAACAAAAAUAAUGUGCAUAAAUCAUUUUCCUACAAUUAAUUAGUCUGAAUUAUCAAAUCUCGAUUAUUAUAUAUGAAUGACAAAUAAGUGGUAGCUAGUUUUUCAUAUUAUAUAUCUAAUUAUUCUUGAUCAUUAUUAAACUUUUCAUUUUGUGGCUAUGCAUGACCUCCUCGCAAAUUUUGUAUAGAAAAGAUGAAUGCUAAAAGAAGAUUAGAUCAAUUAAAAAAGUGGUGUUGCCAAAUCUCAGAGCCAGACAGCAACUUGCAGACAAAUAUUCUGAAUGGCUUGUUGUAUAUAAAAACAUAGUUCAGCAUUCUGUGAUUCUAUCCUUAACCUUUAUUAAUCACUAUUAUAUAACAAUGCAUGGUUUAGGUGCUUCCCCACUACAUAAAACUUCCAUUUUGCUUCUAAAUUCCAAAGGCAACUGGAUAAGAUCAGUGAGUGUGAUUAAGGAACAAUUCAAUAAAACCAUCUGCUAAACAUGAACCUAAACUCGUGUUCAACUUUUCAAUUGAAAGAUGGAAAUAGCACAGUCCAUUGUGUCACGUGUAGUUUCAAAACUUCUUACGAUUAGUGGUAAUAGCAUCAAUUUGAAUUGCUUUUCAAGAUGGGCAAGAAAGAUGUACUUUUAGCAUAUGAUGGUAAGAGGAAAAUGUUGGGUAAUGUAGUCUUAUAUGGUGUCUUGUCCAACAGUUCAAUAGGAUAAUGUUAAUAUCGUGAUUUACUUUUCAUCUUAGUUAGAAUUUUAUAGACAAACAUAACAAUACAGUGUAAUCGAAAUAUCGACAAUAUUAAUAAUAUAUACGACAUAUUGAUAAAUAAUGUAUUCAUAUAUUUGUCGAUAUUAAGCAGCCAACCAUGACAAAUGGUCAUGCAUCAUGACCCAAGGUUCUCUCCCUGAGAAGAGGUGGCAUUGCAUACCCUAGUAAAAAAGUAAAUCAACAAAGAUAAAAGAACUACCUAAAAUGUGCCAAACAAUUUCCCACGGAUAGGCCUAUGUAGCUCCUCUCCAUGACCAAACAUAUAUUUGAUCAUCAAACACAACCUCAUUAUAAAUCAAAAUAAAAAUCCCACAGAGAGAAGAAAAUUGAAAAUUUUGGGGUCCUACAUUAAAAGAAAACAACAAAAGAAUAAAGAGAGAAAGCAAAAGACAUGAUUCACAAGAACAUGCAGCCAUGGCUGCUACAAUGGUGUUCUUCUUUCUCCCAAAGUUUUUGUGUUUUUUUUUUUUUGGCGAACAAGUUUUUGUGUUUGUGCCUA